UUAAGCGACUAAGCGUACACGGUGGAUGCCCUGGCAGUCAGAGGCGAUGAAGGACGUGCUAAUCUGCGAUAAGCGUCGGUAAGGUGAUAUGAACCGUUAUAACCGGCGAUUUCCGAAUGGGGAAACCCAGUGUGUUUCGACACACUAUCAUUAACUGAAUCCAUAGGUUAAUGAGGCGAACCGGGGGAACUGAAACAUCUAAGUACCCCGAGGAAAAGAAAUCAACCGAGAUUCCCCCAGUAGCGGCGAGCGAACGGGGAGGAGCCCAGAGCCUGAAUCAGUGUGUGUGUUAGUGGAAGCGUCUGGAAAGGCGCGCGAUACAGGGUGACAGCCCCGUACACAAAAAUGCACAUAUUGUGAGCUCGAUGAGUAGGGCGGGACACGUGGUAUCCUGUCUGAAUAUGGGGGGACCAUCCUCCAAGGCUAAAUACUCCUGACUGACCGAUAGUGAACCAGUACCGUGAGGGAAAGGCGAAAAGAACCCCGGCGAGGGGAGUGAAAAAGAACCUGAAACCGUGUACGUACAAGCAGUGGGAGCACGCUUAGGCGUGUGACUGCGUACCUUUUGUAUAAUGGGUCAGCGACUUAUAUUCUGUAGCAAGGUUAACCGAAUAGGGGAGCCGAAGGGAAACCGAGUCUUAACUGGGCGUUAAGUUGCAGGGUAUAGACCCGAAACCCGGUGAUCUAGCCAUGGGCAGGUUGAAGGUUGGGUAACACUAACUGGAGGACCGAACCGACUAAUGUUGAAAAAUUAGCGGAUGACUUGUGGCUGGGGGUGAAAGGCCAAUCAAACCGGGAGAUAGCUGGUUCUCCCCGAAAGCUAUUUAGGUAGCGCCUCGUGAAUUCAUCUCCGGGGGUAGAGCACUGUUUCGGCAAGGGGGUCAUCCCGACUUACCAACCCGAUGCAAACUGCGAAUACCGGAGAAUGUUAUCACGGGAGACACACGGCGGGUGCUAACGUCCGUCGUGAAGAGGGAAACAACCCAGACCGCCAGCUAAGGUCCCAAAGUCAUGGUUAAGUGGGAAACGAUGUGGGAAGGCCCAGACAGCCAGGAUGUUGGCUUAGAAGCAGCCAUCAUUUAAAGAAAGCGUAAUAGCUCACUGGUCGAGUCGGCCUGCGCGGAAGAUGUAACGGGGCUAAACCAUGCACCGAAGCUGCGGCAGCGACGCUUAUGCGUUGUUGGGUAGGGGAGCGUUCUGUAAGCCUGCGAAGGUGUGCUGUGAGGCAUGCUGGAGGUAUCAGAAGUGCGAAUGCUGACAUAAGUAACGAUAAAGCGGGUGAAAAGCCCGCUCGCCGGAAGACCAAGGGUUCCUGUCCAACGUUAAUCGGGGCAGGGUGAGUCGACCCCUAAGGCGAGGCCGAAAGGCGUAGUCGAUGGGAAACAGGUUAAUAUUCCUGUACUUGGUGUUACUGCGAAGGGGGGACGGAGAAGGCUAUGUUGGCCGGGCGACGGUUGUCCCGGUUUAAGCGUGUAGGCUGGUUUUCCAGGCAAAUCCGGAAAAUCAAGGCUGAGGCGUGAUGACGAGGCACUACGGUGCUGAAGCAACAAAUGCCCUGCUUCCAGGAAAAGCCUCUAAGCAUCAGGUAACAUCAAAUCGUACCCCAAACCGACACAGGUGGUCAGGUAGAGAAUACCAAGGCGCUUGAGAGAACUCGGGUGAAGGAACUAGGCAAAAUGGUGCCGUAACUUCGGGAGAAGGCACGCUGAUAUGUAGGUGAAGUCCCUCGCGGAUGGAGCUGAAAUCAGUCGAAGAUACCAGCUGGCUGCAACUGUUUAUUAAAAACACAGCACUGUGCAAACACGAAAGUGGACGUAUACGGUGUGACGCCUGCCCGGUGCCGGAAGGUUAAUUGAUGGGGUCAGCGCAAGCGAAGCUCUUGAUCGAAGCCCCGGUAAACGGCGGCCGUAACUAUAACGGUCCUAAGGUAGCGAAAUUCCUUGUCGGGUAAGUUCCGACCUGCACGAAUGGCGUAAUGAUGGCCAGGCUGUCUCCACCCGAGACUCAGUGAAAUUGAACUCGCUGUGAAGAUGCAGUGUACCCGCGGCAAGACGGAAAGACCCCGUGAACCUUUACUAUAGCUUGACACUGAACAUUGAGCCUUGAUGUGUAGGAUAGGUGGGAGGCUUGGAAGUGUGGACGCCAGUCUGCAUGGAGCCGACCUUGAAAUACCACCCUUUAAUGUUUGAUGUUCUAACGUUGACCCGUAAUCCGGGUUGCGGACAGUGUCUGGUGGGUAGUUUGACUGGGGCGGUCUCCUCCUAAAGAGUAACGGAGGAGCACGAAGGUUGGCUAAUCCUGGUCGGACAUCAGGAGGUUAGUGCAAUGGCAUAAGCCAGCUUGACUGCGAGCGUGACGGCGCGAGCAGGUGCGAAAGCAGGUCAUAGUGAUCCGGUGGUUCUGAAUGGAAGGGCCAUCGCUCAACGGAUAAAAGGUACUCCGGGGAUAACAGGCUGAUACCGCCCAAGAGUUCAUAUCGACGGCGGUGUUUGGCACCUCGAUGUCGGCUCAUCACAUCCUGGGGCUGAAGUAGGUCCCAAGGGUAUGGCUGUUCGCCAUUUAAAGUGGUACGCGAGCUGGGUUUAGAACGUCGUGAGACAGUUCGGUCCCUAUCUGCCGUGGGCGCUGGAGAACUGAGGGGGGCUGCUCCUAGUACGAGAGGACCGGAGUGGACGCAUCACUGGUGUUCGGGUUGUCAUGCCAAUGGCACUGCCCGGUAGCUAAAUGCGGAAGAGAUAAGUGCUGAAAGCAUCUAAGCACGAAACUUGCCCCGAGAUGAGUUCUCCCUGACCCUUUAAGGGUCCUGAAGGAACGUUGAAGACGACGACGUUGAUAGGCCGGGUGUGUAAGCGCAGCGAUGCGUUGAGCUAACCGGUACUAAUGAACCGUGAGGCUUAACCUU
RNAcentral lists this ribosomal RNA (2902 nucleotides) under Escherichia coli UMEA 3139-1. RNAcentral's name for it is "bacterial LSU rRNA". It matches the Rfam family "Bacterial large subunit ribosomal RNA". The record is from RNAcentral. Lineage: Bacteria; Pseudomonadati; Pseudomonadota; Gammaproteobacteria; Enterobacterales; Enterobacteriaceae.